GACGAACGCUGGCGGCGUGCUUAACACAUGCAAGUCGAACGGAAAGGCCCUGCUUUUGUGGGGUGCACGAGUGGCGAACGGGUGAGUAAAACGUGAGUAACCUGCCCUUGACUUUGGGAUAACUUCAGGAAACUGGGGCUAAUACCGGAUAGGAGCUCCUGCUGCAUGGUGGGGGUUGGAAAGUUUCGGCGGUUGUGGAUGGACUCGCGGCUUAUCAGCUUGUUGGGGGGGUAGUGGCUUACCAAGGCUUUGACGGGUAGCCGGCCUGGGAGCGUGACCGGCGACCAUGGGACUGAGGGACGGCCCAGAAUCCUACGGGAGGCAGCAGGGGAGAAUAUUGCACAAUGGGCGGAAGCCUGAUGCAGCAGCGCCGCGUGCGUGAUGACCGCCUUCGGGUGGUAAACCGCUUUCGCCUGUGACGAAGCGUUAGUGACGGUAAUGGGUAAAGAAGCACCGGCUAACUACGUG
RNAcentral lists this ribosomal RNA (468 nucleotides) under uncultured bacterium. RNAcentral describes it as "partial 16S ribosomal RNA". It matches the Rfam family "Bacterial small subunit ribosomal RNA", at positions 28 to 507 of the family's 1533-position model. The record is from RNAcentral.